UCUCCCCUUAGUACAUAAUCUGAUUGUUAUGCUUUGAUGGUUAGAGGUCUUCCAUAUUUAUAAAUAAUUUUUUAUGACCCAAUAGACUAGGAGUCUCAAUUCAAAUCAGUUUUAAAUUAUUUCAUCUCUUAUCUUAGAAGGAGUCCUAAUUAAGAUACGAUAGGCACCUAACUUGAUGCCCCCAUGCACCCACGCCUACACCCAAGAGGAGGGGCGG
This 217-nucleotide long non-coding RNA is filed under the name Elaeis guineensis (African oil palm). RNAcentral describes it as "long non-coding RNA (EGUI_LNC039887)". Lineage: Eukaryota; Viridiplantae; Streptophyta; Magnoliopsida; Arecales; Arecaceae. The record is from RNAcentral.